This 437-nucleotide ribosomal RNA is filed under the name uncultured Lachnospiraceae bacterium. Its description in RNAcentral is "bacterial SSU rRNA". It matches the Rfam family "Bacterial small subunit ribosomal RNA", at positions 355 to 793 of the family's 1533-position model. Lineage: Bacteria; Bacillati; Bacillota; Clostridia; Lachnospirales; Lachnospiraceae. The record is from RNAcentral.
UGGGGGAUAUUGCACAAUGGAGGAAACUCUGAUGCAGCGACGCCGCGUGAGUGAAGAAGUAUUUCGGUAUGUAAAGCUCUAUCAGCAGGGAAGAAAGACCUCGAAAGAGGGGAUGACGGUACCUGAGUAAGAAGCCCCGGCUAACUACGUGCCAGCAGCCGCGGUAAUACGUAGGGGGCGAGCGUUAUCCGGAUUUACUGGGUGUAAAGGGAGCGCAGACGGAAGAGCAAGUCUGAUGUGAAAACCCGGGGCUCAACCCCGGGCCUGCAUUGGAAACUGUCAUACUGGAGUGUCGGAGAGGUAAGCGGAAUUCCUAGUGUAGCGGUGAAAUGCGUAGAUAUUAGGAGGAACACCAGUGGCGAAGGCGGCUUACUGGACGACAACUGACGCUGAGGCUCGAAAGCGUGGGGAGCAAACAGGAUUAGAUACCCUGGUAG